This 308-nucleotide long non-coding RNA is filed under the name Elaeis guineensis (African oil palm). RNAcentral's name for it is "long non-coding RNA (EGUI_LNC033067)". Lineage: Eukaryota; Viridiplantae; Streptophyta; Magnoliopsida; Arecales; Arecaceae. The record is from RNAcentral.
GUGCUUCUACUGAAAGUUCUAGAUAGGUCCAACCAUUAACAUACCAGAAUUUAGUGCAUCUAACAAACAAGUGAUCAGGCCUGAGUGUGGCUCGACCAAUCUGACCAUCAUCAGAAAGAUACAACUAAAUCAAUAUAUUAUGAAUGAUAAUUCUGACAAUCAGAUGAGCACCAGAGGGGUGGCGCCUCUAAUGAUCAUCUAAACUGUUGGACUCAUUAUUACCCAACUUAAUAGGAGACUAUGAUCUAGUUGAAUUGAGAGAUGAGAAGACUUGACUAGUUAAUCUUAAUCCUCCCACUGACUUCACC